AGGCGCGUAGCUCAGUUGGUUAGAGCAUCACCUUGACAUGGUGGGGGUCGUUGGUUCGAGUCCAAUCGCGCCUA
Non-coding RNA from Gammaproteobacteria bacterium SG8_11, 74 nucleotides. The record is from Rfam. Lineage: Bacteria; Pseudomonadati; Pseudomonadota; Gammaproteobacteria.